GACGAACGCUGGCGGCGUGCUUAACACAUGCAAGUCGAACGAUGAAGCCGGAGCUUGCUCCGGUGGAUUAGUGGCGAACGGGUGAGUAACACGUGAGCAAUCUGCCCUUGACUCUGGGAUAACUGCGGGAAACUGUAGCUAAUACCGGAUACGACACCUUGGGGCAUCCCAGGGUGUGGAAAGAAUUUCGGUCAAGGAUGAGCUCGCGGCCUAUCAGCUAGUUGGUGAGGUAAUGGCUCACCAAGGCGACGACGGGUAGCCGGCCUGAGAGGGGGACCGGCCAGAAUGGAACUGAGACACGGUCCAGACUCCGACGGGAGGCAGCAGUGGGGAAUAGUGCACAAGGGGCGAAAGCCUAAUGCAGCAACGCCGCGUGAGGGAUGAAGGCCUUCGGGUUGUAAACCUCUUUUAGCAGGGAAGAAGCGAAAGUGACGGUACCUGCAGAAAAAGCACCGGCUAACUACGUGCCAGCCGCCGCCGUAA
RNAcentral lists this ribosomal RNA (483 nucleotides) under uncultured bacterium. RNAcentral describes it as "partial 16S ribosomal RNA". It matches the Rfam family "Bacterial small subunit ribosomal RNA", at positions 28 to 523 of the family's 1533-position model. The record is from RNAcentral.